Molecule: ribosomal RNA, 468 nt
Filed under: uncultured bacterium
Lineage: Bacteria
Description: partial 16S ribosomal RNA
Rfam family: Bacterial small subunit ribosomal RNA
Source: RNAcentral
GACGAACGCUGGCGGCGUGCUUAACACAUGCAAGUCGAACGGAAAGGCCCUGCUUUUGUGGGGUGCUCGAGUGGCGAACGGGUGAGUAACACGUAAGUAACCUGCCCUUGACUUUGGGAUAACUUCAGGAAACUGGGGCUAAUACCGGAUAGGAGCUCCUGCUGCAUGGUGGGGGUUGGAAAGUUUCGGCGGUUGGGGAUGGACUCGCGGCUUAUCAGCUUGUUGGUGGGGUAGUGGCUUACCAAGGCUUUGACGGGUAGCCGGCCUGAGAGGGUGAUCGGCCACAUUGGGACUGAGAUACGGCCCAGACUCCUACGGGAGGCAGCAGUGGGGAAUAUUGCACAAUGGGCGGAAGCCUGAUGCAGCAACGCCGCGUGCGGGAUGACGGCCUUCGGGUUGUAAACCGCUUUCGCCUGUGACGAAGCGUGAGUGACGGUAAUGGGUAAAGAAGCACCGGCUAACCACGUG